Molecule: non-coding RNA, 1097 nt
Organism: Manis javanica (Malayan pangolin)
Lineage: Eukaryota; Metazoa; Chordata; Mammalia; Pholidota; Manidae
Source: RefSeq, a predicted model, not a curated record
ACCCAGGGUGCUUGGUGGGAGGGGCCCUCCUUGGGCCGGGGGAGGGCGCUUGGCAUGGCCUGGAGGGACAGGGAUCUGUGAGGGUUUUCAGGACAGAGGUAGGACUGGGUCACGAGGGAGAGGAGCUCACGGGCUCCUCAGAAAGGGCGGAGGCCUGGUGCCUGGCUCUGGGAAGUCACGGAUUUAAUGCUCGGUCAGGGGCGUGGCAGGGAAUCAGGAAAAGGGAGUCAAGGGAAAGUGAAGGGGAGACAGGAAGAGGCCGGAGGGGACAGUGAGUGUCAACCAGGAUUCAGAGCCCCUGGAGAGGUCCUGCCGGCAGACGGGGGCUCAGGACCAGAGAGGACGAGACGUGGGCUUCGUCCCUCCCUCACACCCCCUCCUCACUGGCCUCUGGGACCUCAGUUCUGCCCAGGGCCUUGCCCACCUGUGCUAUUUCCCCAGAAGACACGGAUGGUCAGCCAGGCCUCCACGGAGAGCCCCCAAGGCCACUCACCUGCGCACAGCAGCGACAGCAUCAGGAGCAUCUCCGAGAUGAGGCUCUGGGCUUCCUGUGGGGGAGAGAGAAGGGGAAGGCAGGAGCGGGACACCCACGCCCAGACCCAGGAGCUGCCCGGAGAGCCGACCGCACAGACGCGCCCCGCCCCCAGCUCGGCCCUUCCCUCCGGCACCGGAACUGGGACCAGGGCUUCUGAGGACACCUGAGGCCCAGGACAGACAUUGAGCCCCAAUUGGUGGGGCUGAAAAGGGCCCUGCGACUGAGUUUGUGUUCAUUUACCGCCUCCACACACUCCAGAUGCAGAAAACCCACCCCAAUGGGUCCCAUGCUCUUAGUCUGUGUGGUUUUCCUCCAAACAUGUUUCAAUAUCUGACAGAUAUUAUUUUUUUCAUUCUUGUCUCCAUAAUGACAGCACCUGGACGAGGGGGUACUUACUUCUUGUUCCCUUUUACUGGGGUAAAAUGUCUGUAAAAUAAAACUUGCCAUUUUUAACCCUGUGUAAGGUACAGUUCAGUGGCCCUGAGCACAUGCAGUGUUGUGCGACCAUCACCAUUAUUUCCAAAACUUUACAUCAUCCCUAACAGACACUCCCAGUUACCCA